GAUGAACGCUGGCGGCGUGCCUAAUACAUGCAAGUCGAGCGAACAGACGAGGAGCUUGCUCCUCUGACGUUAGCGGCGGACGGGUGAGUAACACGUGGAUAACCUACCUAUAAGACUGGGAAAACCUCGGGAAACCGGAGCUAAUACCGGAUAAUAUAUUGAACCGCAUGGUUCAAUAGUGAAAGACGGUUUUGCUGUCACUUAUAGAUGGAUCCGCGCCGCAUUAGCUAGUUGGUAAGGUAACGGCUUACCAAGGCAACGAUGCGUAGCCGACCUGAGAGGGUGAUCGGCCACACUGGAACUGAGACACGGUCCAGACUCCUACGGGAGGCAGCAGUAGGGAAUCUUCCGCAAUGGGCGAAAGCCUGACGGAGCAACGCCGCGUGAGUGAUGAAGGUCUUCGGAUCGUAAAACUCUGUUAUUAGGGAAGAACAAAUGUGUAAGUAACUAUGCACGUCUUGACGGUACCUAAUCAGAAAGCCACGGCUAACUACGUG
Molecule: ribosomal RNA, 497 nt
Filed under: uncultured bacterium
Lineage: Bacteria
Description: partial 16S ribosomal RNA
Rfam family: Bacterial small subunit ribosomal RNA
Source: RNAcentral